Molecule: ribosomal RNA, 128 nt
Filed under: Aotus nancymaae (Ma's night monkey)
Lineage: Eukaryota; Metazoa; Chordata; Mammalia; Primates; Aotidae
Source: RNAcentral
GUCUACGGCCAUACCACCCUGAACGCACCCGAUCUCGUCUGAUCUCAGAAGCUACAGGGUCGGGCCUGGUUGGUACUUGGAUGGGAGAAAAUAGCCAAUUUUUGAAAGAAACUCGUGCAAUGAAGAGU